This is a non-coding RNA of Meleagris gallopavo (turkey), 486 nucleotides long. Lineage: Eukaryota; Metazoa; Chordata; Aves; Galliformes; Phasianidae. The record is from RefSeq and is a predicted model, not a curated record.
AUCCAUCCCCCAAGGGCAUUUCAGGGUUACUUCAUAUGAAUUUUGGGGAUGCUGUUUCAUGAUUUUAGAGAUUUGGGGGAGACCUAAACAUUUUUUAAGGAUUCUCUUCCUCCUCCCCUCAACAAUGCAUUGGGGUCCUCCCACCCCGGGUCUUCCAGCAUCCCAAAAUGCAUUGAGGUCGUCCCACCUCUGGUCCUCCAGCAUCCCGCAAUCCCAUGGAGUCCACCAGCAUCCCACAAUCCCAUGGGGUCCUCCAGCAUCCCACAAUCCCAUGGGGUCCUCCAGCAUCCCACAAUCCCAUGGGGUCCUCCCACCCCAGAUCCUCCAGCAUCCCACAAUCCCACGGGCUCCUCCCCACCUCACCCCACGUUGUCCAUCCACGUUUUCCAGUUCUUCUCAUGAAACUUGGGGAUGAGCUGAAGAUGCCCCGAUGCCACUGCCUUGUUGGGGGGGGAGGGAGAGAGGGAAAAAGGUCACCCCCCCCCA